GAUGAACGCUGGCGGCGUGCCUAAUACAUGCAAGUCGAGCGAACGGACGAGAAGCUUGCUUCUCUGAUGUUAGCGGCGGACGGGUGAGUAACACGUGGAUAACCUACCUAUAAGACUGGGAUAACUUCGGGAAACCGUAGCUAAUACCGGAUAAUAUUUUGAACCGCAUGGUUCAAUAGUGAAAGACGGUCUUGCUGUCACUUAUAGAUGGAUCCGCGCUGCAUUAGCUAGUUGGUAAGGUAACGGCUUACCAAGGCAACGAUGCAUAGCCGACCUGAGAGGGUGAUCGGCCACACUGGAACUGAGACACGGUCCAGACUCCUACGGGAGGCAGCAGUAGGGAAUCUUCCGCAAUGGGCGAAAGCCUGACGGAGCAACGCCGCGUGAGUGAUGAAGGUCUUCGGAUCGUAAAACUCUGUUAUUAGGGAAGAGCAUAUGUGUAAGUAACUGUGCAUAUCUUGACGGUACCUAAUCAGAAAGCCACGGCUAACUACGUG
RNAcentral lists this ribosomal RNA (497 nucleotides) under uncultured bacterium. RNAcentral describes it as "partial 16S ribosomal RNA". It matches the Rfam family "Bacterial small subunit ribosomal RNA", at positions 28 to 507 of the family's 1533-position model. The record is from RNAcentral.